This is a long non-coding RNA of Cyprinus carpio carpio, 2644 nucleotides long. Lineage: Eukaryota; Metazoa; Chordata; Actinopteri; Cypriniformes; Cyprinidae. The record is from Ensembl.
AUUUAAUUCAUAUAAUUAAUAAGAACUUAGCUGACAUAUUAAAUAUCAAUAUCGGUCAAUAAAAGUGGUACUAAACUAGGCUUCAUUUUAUUUAUGCAAAAUAUUCAACUAUAAAUAAUAUUUUCUUUGGGGUGAAAUAUGACCAGGACAUUUUCUUGACAGGUUUUGUGAGAUUUAACACAAACGUCACAUGUACUGUAUUUCUAAUCAGUUGAUUUUGAACUGAUUGUUGUUUUUAUAUAUAAAUCUCAAUAAGGGAUCAUCAGCUGAUGGAAAGUACAGCUUGGGCUGAUAUGUGCUCAGCUGUUGUACCCUCAGGUGUGAGUGGAAAUGAGGUUUGAAUACAAACACAGCUGAUCACUCAACAAUGGUCCAUUUUGAAGUGAUACAACAUCUUUAACCUGGUCGUGAUGCGUGGGACAACAAUAUCCAGUGGUGGACUGGCGGUAGACUUUGAAUGAAAAUGGUGCCGUACUCUUGUGUACACUCUUGGGUAACUAAAUUUUUUUCAUUCAAAGACUUGUUUUCAUGCACAUCAGAUUAAAUAAGGUGUCUACCCAACCCUGUUGGCCAUUGUGUCCAGCACAUAAAUGCUAUUGUCGUUACCAACACACACACACUCAGCUCAACCGCUGAGCUCUCGAGAAACAGCGAGGCUAUUUUGACACAUUUGCUUAAUGCCAAGUUUCAUAGGUUCCCUAUUCAGGGGUCACAUUGUCAGCAAAACAUUUCAGCUUAGUCGCAAAACCGUACGUGAUUUGCAAAGUCAUCAAACAGCAUGUCUCUUCAGAGCCAUUGUGAGUCAAACUGCAAAUCGGUUAUGUGUUGUGAAGGUCCAACAUUUUGAGUGAGGUUAUAAUUGUUUUCAUGAAAAUAAGAGUUGGAAAGACCCCAGAGCGUUCCCCUGAAUCUAAUUUUAGGGACUUUACUUUUUAGUGAUUUAGAGUCACUUCUUAUAGUAAAUGUUAUGUAACCAUUGUUUGAUGGCAGUAUUCCUGCUUAGCAUUUCCUUUCUUCCUUGUUUACAAUCUGCUGUCACCUCCCAGAUGGUUAGAAUUCGACCUUGCCUGGGCGUUUCCUUCUCUAUUGUGUAAAUGCGAACACCAUAGAGGAGAACAGGUGCCUUCUGUUUCCAUCACUGAAAUGCUGUCUGUUGAGAAGUGUGGAGACAGUCACUGGCACGGGGAAGACUUCCUUUCCAUCUGGCUUUGCUUUAGUUCGCGACCUUAUUCAAAUGGCAAUGAGCGCGAUCGUUUUACCCCCUCUGUCAGCGCUUGUGUGUUUGAUGCUUUUGUGUCGAGUCGAGGGGGAUGAAACAGAAUGCGGGGAGUUCAGUGGGUUCAGUAUUGAUGACAGUGUUUAGGUAUAGCGAUCCUGUUGUUGAAGAUAAUGAGGAAUAAACCACUUGGUUCAAAGCACACCACUGAGUGAUGUAAAUAUCUGCACUUUUCCAUUUUAUCUCUUUAUAAACCUCCUGAAAUUCUGUCUAGGUAGCUCACUAGGUUUAAGCUUUCAGACAUUUCUAUUUGUGAUUGUUUUUGCGAACAUUGCGCACAAUCACAACUCUACCAUGUUUGUUUUAUAUUAUUGUAUCACCUCUGCCUCCGAGAGUAAAUCAAAGGGUAGUUGCUGUCACUAACAUCAGAUAUAGUAUACUCUGGGGUGGUUCCAUCUUAUGAGAAAGUCUUAUAUGAUAUACCAUCAUAUUAACAUUAAUAGUAAUCAUAAGUCUAACUGCUGUCCUGUAUUAAUAAUCAAAUAUUGCAAGUGUAUUCAUAUGUUGGUAAAUCGCAUUUAAACCCUAGUUUCAGUACAGUAUAUAAGAUGGACCAAUAUUAUUAUAGAGUUCUUAGGAAUCAAAUAUAUGUAACAUUUUAUGACUAUGCUGUAUGUAAAAAGUAAGGCAGUGACAAUAUUUGAGUAAUAAAAGCUGUGCAGUUACGAUUACAAUCUUUAAAAAUAGAAGAAAAAAGAAAUGUUUUAAAGGUCUGAAGUCUGUGAACAAUAUUACUAAAAUAUGGGAAACUUUUAUUUUUUGGAGUACCUCUCUCUUUCUCUUGCUGUAUAUCUAUAUAUUUUUUACAGUUGACCCUUAGCUUUGCGAACUUAUUAUUAUGUUGUGAACGAAUGCUGUUAUUUUUUGCUGAGCAGAUCUGAGGUCUAUUCAAUGUUUUUCCUUAUUGUUAUAAUGUCCAGUAGUUGAACUCCUUUCGUUAUUGUUGUUAGAGAACUAUAGUGAUACUGCUAUGAAUGUGAUUUAGUCCAAGUGAGAAAUAAAUGCAACUGCAAUGCAACUGAAAAUGUGCAACAAGUGUGUUUGUCUCAUUAUUGUUGAUUGUGACAUGAGGAAGAUGACGAAUCCUUAAAGAGACAGUUCACCCAAAAAUGAAAAUUGUCAUUUUAUUUAGGAAGUUACAAACCUGUAAGUGUUUUUCAUAUGUGGAACAAAAAAAAAACAAUGUUGAUACUUGUUUUGGUGAAUUUUUUUUUUUUUUUUUUAGUCCUUUUGGGACCUUGACAGUUCCAGUCCCCAUCCACUUCCAUUGUAUUGAAAAGAGCAGCUUUGGAGCUAUAUGAGGUUGAAUAAAAUGAAGACAUCAUACUUAUGGGACAUACAGGUGUAUCUCAAUAAAUUAGAUUGUCG